GCUAAACGCGAAGAACCUUACCAGGCCUUGACAUGCAGAGAACUUUCCAGAGAUGGAUUGGUGCCUUCGGGAACUCUGAGACAGGUGCUGCAUGGCUGUCGUCAGCUCGUGUUGUGAAAUGUUGGGUUAAGUCCCGCAACGAGCGCAACCCUUAUCCUUUGUUGCCAGCGGUUAGGCCGGGAACUCAAAGGAGACUGCCAGUGAUAAACUGGAGGAAGGUGGGGAUGACGUCAAGUCAUCAUGGCCCUUACGAGUAGGGCUACACACGUGCUACAAUGGCGCAUACAAAGAGAAGCGACCUCGCGAGAGCAAGCGGACCUCAUAAAGUGCGUCGUAGUCCGGAUUGGAGUCUGCAACUCGACUCCAUGAAGUCGGAAUCGCUAGUAAUCGUAGAUCAGAAUGCUACGGUGAAUACGUUCCCGGGUCUUGUACACACCG
Molecule: ribosomal RNA, 438 nt
Filed under: uncultured bacterium
Lineage: Bacteria
Description: bacterial SSU rRNA
Rfam family: Bacterial small subunit ribosomal RNA
Source: RNAcentral